Molecule: ribosomal RNA, 207 nt
Filed under: uncultured bacterium
Lineage: Bacteria
Description: partial 16S ribosomal RNA
Rfam family: Bacterial small subunit ribosomal RNA
Source: RNAcentral
UGCGUAGGUGGUUUGGUAAGUUAUGUGUGAAAUCCCCGGGCUUAACCUGGGAGGGUCAGAUAAUACUGCUGAACUAGAGUGUGAGAGAGGGUAGUGGAAUUUCCGGUGUAGCGGUGAAAUGCGUAGAGAUCGGAAGGAACACCAGUGGCGAAGGCGGCUACCUGGCUUAACACUGACACUGAGGCACGAAAGCGUGGGGAGCAAACA